Molecule: transfer RNA, 3171 nt
Filed under: Sus scrofa (pig)
Lineage: Eukaryota; Metazoa; Chordata; Mammalia; Artiodactyla; Suidae
Description: lncRNA (ENSSSCG00015009902.1)
Source: RNAcentral
ACAGAGGUCCUGCUUGCCGUCCCUUUGUAUUAUCUGUAAAGCUGGUAUUUUACCUUUUUCAAGUUUUUUUUUCCCAAAUGGCAUACCCCUCAAGUCAGUGACGCCUUCCCUGAUCAUCCUGUUCAAAACUGCACUCAAAUACUCGCAGCGCCCUUUACUGUUUUAUUUUUCUCCACAUAUUUACUACCAUCUAAAAUUGUACUUAUUUUACUAAUGUAUCUGUCUGUCUCCUCUCACUGGAAAGUGAACUCCUCAAAGGGAGGAAUUUUUGAUGGUUUAAUUUCCCCUGCUUCCCUGCAUCCACAAGCGUGUGGCACUUUAGGCCCUCAGUUACAACGAGCCAAUGGAUGAGUGAAUGCACACCGGGUACUGUGCUAGGUCCUUCAGUCCCCAUUGUACUGAGACUUGUGUAGGUCAGGCCACAGCCACUCGGGUUCAUUUCUGCCUUCUGCACCAUGCUACCCUCCCAGUUGGCCUUCCUAGAGCCUUUGUUCUUGCCUAAGGGAGCGCCACGGCUCCAGAACUUCUCAGUGUAAAAGGCACUGCUGGAGUCACAGAUGCACCCACCUUGAUGCAGGGGCCAGUCUGGGCCACAGCCCUUUGACCCAGCACCUCAUCCCAUUUCCAAAUGCUUUCUACCAUGGGCGGGGGUCGCUGUGUAUCUGUCCUGCAAUUAAUGUGAAGGAAAAAGCCUCCUUUGAAAAACUGGUGAAGAGUUUAGAUUUUUUACCUUCAUAUAAUGUGCCAUAUAAUCGUUUUAUGGAUGCUAGUAUUAAGGAUGAUUCCAUUAGUGAGGGAAAGUCCUUUCACUUGACCUGUGAUUUCUAAACACUGGAUAUUUUAGUUUUUUAUAUGUAUACCACACUUAGACCAUUGUAGUAUAAAUAUAGCAUUACUUCAUUGUUUUUAAAAAUAAUCAGUUGGAGUUCCUGUCAUGGCUCAGUGGUUAACGAAUCUGACUAGGAACCAUGAGGUUGCGGGUUCGAUCCUUGGCCUUGUUCAGUGGGUUAAGAAUCCGGCGUUGCUGUGAGCUGUGGUGUAGGUCACAGAGGUGGCUCGGAUCUUGCGUUGCUGUGGCUGUGGCUUAGGCUGGCAGGUAUAGCUCUGAUUAGACCCCCUAGACUGGGAACCUCCAUAUGCUUCAGGAGCAUAGAGAAGGCAAAAAGACACACACACACACACACACACACACAUCAGCUAUUCUGAUAUGUAAAAAUGCAUGCAUCUUAAUAAUCCACAGUGUCUUUAUGUUGACAGUGUGAAUAAAUAAUAUCAUAAUUGAUCACAGUAAAUUCAGCAGCAGUGAAAGAGUCUGUUGUUUCAUUAUUCCUACUUCGCUUUUUCUUACAGGACAAAGUUCUAAAAACAUCAGUUCAUCUCCAAGUAUUGAGAGUCUGCCUGGAGGAAGGGAGUUUACAGGCUCCCCACCAUCAUCUGCUACUAAAAAGGACUCCUUUUUCAGCAGCAUCUCCCGUUCCCGCUCACACAGCAAAACUAUGGGCAGAAAAGAAUCUGUAAGUAUUUCAAGGAUGGUCUCUUUUUAUCCUUCAUUUUUCUCUAGAGUGGUGCAUUUUUAAAAGUUUUAUGAAGUUCUUAAAAUUUGUUGUAACUAAAAUGAAUUAUUUCAUCAAAAAUAUUUUAAUUUUAUUAUCAUUCAGUAUUUUUUUGUUUAUUCCCACAGCAUUUGGAAGUUCCCAAGGCCAAGGAUUGAACUUGAGCCACAGCAGUGACAGUGCCAGAGCCUUAACCACUAGGCCACCAGGGAACUCCUAGUUUAGUAAUGUUUUAAGGCUCUGGUCAAUAUUACACUGGGGGGAAGAAAGUAGCAUCGAUUUAAAAUAAGUUAAAUUCCAAAUCUUGGUCCCCCUUUUUUUUUUCUCUACAAAUGCCUUUGUCAAAGCCUGUGCUUUCUUCUAAAAUAUAACAGAUAGCAUGGUACCAAAUGAGAGAAUAAGACACUUAAAAUGAACCAAGCUGUUUUUUCAGCUUAAAGUAUUUCUUGAAAACUAAAAUUAACUAUUUUACCAAUUGUCUUUAACAGUUACGCAAAUUACAUUGAAAUUAUGGUAUAUUGAUAGCUACUCUCUAAGCUCCUUUGUUUACAUUACUUAAAAGGACAUAACUAAAGCAUAUCAACUACUUAAAAAAUCUGUUUCUGAAAAAAAUUUUAAGUCGUCUUCACAGGAAACAAAACAUUUAGUCACAUUUUAUAGUUAGUUCAACACUCGAUAUUCUAAUAUGCAGAAUUCAUCUGCCUGUUGGAAGUGGGUGCAAAUGUAAAAUAUUACAGAAAAGAACCUAACUAUUGCUGAAACAGUGCUAAGAUGGGGAGGAAGGAAACUUGUGAAACCUUUGAGGGAUAAUUAUUUAUGGCACAUAGACUAGGUAACAGCGUGAAGUCUAUCUGCGUGACUUUAUGACCUUGCAUGAAACACUCAGCUUCCUGGUGCUUCAGCCACCUCCUCUGUAAUUUAAACAACAUACUUUGCUCUCUGAAGGGAAGAGUUCACUACAUACUCUCUUGGAGUGCGUUCCUUGUGUAAGAACUGUGAUUUUCUAAUUUGUAGAAGAGCAGAACAGCAGCUUUAAUGCAACCAGUUAGCUCUGCUCCCUCCUAAACUCCACUCCAAGGACAGUUAAGGUUGUUAUGAUAAACCCUCGAGGAAUAAGGAAACAGAGAUGACAACAGCAAAAAGAUGCUGUUACUCGGAAAGCAGAUGUUAAGUGGAAACUAACUUAGCAGCCUAAGAAAGCUCAAUGCUAAGCCAGCAGUAGGGAAAAACCAAGAAGCAACUUGACUUAGAUGGCAAAACCUUCUAGAAGCUCAGGAACUGGAAAUGGGGUGAAAGUGGUGGUGGAGACGUGGUGACUGCUCACAAGUCUCUAGAAGAAGCAAGUAGACUUCCUCACUCUGGAGAAGACUGGAGGUUUCAUUCUCUAGAAAGUGUGAAACAGUGUCUCUGGACUGAGAGAGAUCAGGAGUAAUUGCUUAUGGGAAAUAUGCAGCCUUCCUAGAAAGAGGGUGUUGAAUGUAUUUGAAUACUGAAUGGAGAUCCUCAGACCUCACCCCACUUGCUUCCCAGAAUACCAGUAAGUAUUUCUUUUCAGGCAGGAGGUUGGAAGGGUUUUCUCUGGGCAAGAGUCACAAAUUAAAAAAAAAAACAAAAAAAA